Episyrphus balteatus (marmalade hoverfly) is the source of this 702-nucleotide long non-coding RNA. RefSeq lists it as uncharacterized. The transcript has 2 exons. NCBI's taxonomy places the organism in Eukaryota, Metazoa, Arthropoda, Insecta, Diptera, Syrphidae. The record is from RefSeq and is a predicted model, not a curated record.
CAUUGAUUAGUGAUUGCUAAAAAAAUGACGAUAAACAUUUUGAAUUACCUUUGAUUUAAAUUAAAUAUUUCGAUUCCUAGGGUGACCAGCUGUUGUUUUGCAAGAAAAUUUUAUCUGUAUGAACAUUUUAACCAAUUCAAAAUUUGUUAAUACAGAUCAGAUGGUCACUAUAUUUAUUUGGUUUCAGUAAUCUCCUGAAAUUUUUCAAGCAAGCUGCAAUUCUAAUCAAGUCUUUAGGUAAAUCUCUGUAUAUUCGGCACAUCAGUCUGAAAAACGAACUUCGUAUAUUCAUACUUAUUUUUAUAAACAUCAUGAAAUUCUUCGUAAUAAUCCUAUAUUUUUGUAUCGUGCUAACAUUUUGUUCAAUUUAUACUGAGAGUGCAGUUAAUCCCAGAUGUUUGGUUGUUGCUAAUUGUGCAGCUGAUGCUGGCCCUGUUUACGCUUCUACCAAUGGAGGCAAUACUUGUGAAAAAUUUAUGAAUGUAUGUACUUAUAUGGACGAAUGGUGCAAGCAUGAUGAACAUGGUUUACCUGAAUUAAAAGAGGUCUCUAAGGAUAAAUGUAAAACUGUGAAUGAGCAUAAAUUUUGAAAACAUAUUUAUUUCUAAAAACAUUUCAAUUUUUGAUGAAAACUUUUUGCUACUCAAAGAAAUUGCUUGUUCUUUUAAAUAUUCAUAAAUAAAGAUUUUUUAACAGCAUUUA